This is a microRNA precursor of Tupaia belangeri (northern tree shrew), 83 nucleotides long. The record is from Ensembl. Lineage: Eukaryota; Metazoa; Chordata; Mammalia; Scandentia; Tupaiidae.
ACAUGUCCAAGCUCUGCGUGUGUGUAUGUAGAUAUACAUACACACACACACACACACACACACACACACACACACACACAUAU